RNAcentral lists this ribosomal RNA (449 nucleotides) under Bangia sp. RNAcentral's name for it is "SSU rRNA". It matches the Rfam family "Eukaryotic small subunit ribosomal RNA", at positions 1 to 440 of the family's 1831-position model. Lineage: Eukaryota; Rhodophyta; Bangiophyceae; Bangiales; Bangiaceae. The record is from RNAcentral.
UUUUAACCUGAAUUUGAUCCUGCCAGUAGUCAUAUGCUUGUCUCAAGGGCUAAGCCAUGCAUGUGUAAGUAUAAAUAUGUAUUCGUACAGUAUGAAACUGCGAAUGGCUCAUUAAAACAGUUAUAGUUCCUUUGAACGUAGUGUUGCUACUUGGAUAUCCGUAGUAAUUCUAGAGCUAAUACAUGCCUUCUCGCCCGACUUCGGAAGGGUGGUAUCUAUUAGAUAAAAAACCAUCGCACACUCGUGCUUUGUGAUGAUUCAUAAUAGCUUUUCGGAUCGCAUGGCCUUGCGCCGGUGACGGUUCAUUCAAAUUUCUGCCCUAUCAACUUUCGAUGGUAGAGUAGUGGUCUACCAUGGUGUCGACGGGUAACGGGGAAUUAGGGUUCGAUUCCGGAGAGGGAGCCUGAGAAACGGCUACCACAUCCAAGGAAGCAGCAAAGGCGCGCAAA